CAUAGUGCAGAUGCCUGAACAGAAGUUUGCAGGACACAGUAGAGCAUUUCUGUCACCCCAGCACUCCCCGCAUAAAAGCAGGAGGUUAAAGUCAGGGAAGGCGUUGGGAUCCGACAGAGUAACAUCGUGAAGGCACCGCAGGCCAAGACAUGGAACCAGCACAUGAGUUCACCCUCAGAUAAAUGGAUGAGAGAAAAUACACUACAAAUAUGA
This is a long non-coding RNA of Acomys russatus (golden spiny mouse), 213 nucleotides long. RefSeq lists it as uncharacterized. Lineage: Eukaryota; Metazoa; Chordata; Mammalia; Rodentia; Muridae. The transcript is spliced from 3 exons. The record is from RefSeq and is a predicted model, not a curated record.